CCCGCUGAACUUAAGCAUAUCAAUAAGCGGAGGAAAAGAAAGCAACAGCGAUAUCCCAAGUAACGGCGAGUGAAAGGGGUAAAGCCCACCCUGAAUCCCGUAGCCUUUGGCUGCUGGGAGCUGUAGGGUUAAGUAGGCCUUUUCCGGUACUGCUCUGACUCCUUGAGUUCCCUUGAUUGGGACCACGGCCCAUAGCGGGUGCGAGGCCCAUUGCGGAGACGGACGGUGCCGGGCUAGCGUCCCUACUAAGAGUCGGGUUGCUUGAGAGUGCAGCCCGAAUACGUCGUAAACCCGACGUAAGGCUAAAUAUGGCCACGAGACCGAUAGCGAACAAGUACCGUGAGGGAAAGUUGCAAAGAACUUUGAAGAGAGAGUUCAAGAGGGCGUGAAACCGUAUAGAAGUAAACAGGUGGAGCCGCAAUGCAGUCUGCAGAGUUCAGUUUAGUUUUGGGUGAGACUUUGCUGUCGGAUCGCAAGACCGGCGGUGAGGUGCAUGUCGCUCAACGACUGGACGCACUCUCUGUAGACGGCGCCACAACCGAUUACUGCUCCGGCAAAAAACCGAACUGUUGCGGACUAGCCCUUCACGGGGAUAGUGACCAGCGGAAGCGGUGUACCCCUGGUAGCGGUGAUCGAGGCGACCUAGCCGCGCUGGCCUGGCUCUGGGCGUCGGUUACCUUUGGCGUAGUUAUGUUCUGGGACAUGCUUGCAUGGCCUAGUUCCUGCGCUGCUGGUUUAGCUGGCGUCGUAGACGAAGCGCUGAAGGUUUGUGGCGUUCGUGUCGGUCACCCACCUGACCCGUCUUGAAACACGG
Molecule: ribosomal RNA, 814 nt
Filed under: uncultured fungus
Lineage: Eukaryota; Fungi
Description: eukaryotic LSU rRNA
Rfam family: Eukaryotic large subunit ribosomal RNA
Source: RNAcentral